AUUGAACGCUGGCGGCAGGCCUAACACAUGCAAGUCGCGCGGUGCGGCGGACGGGUGAGUAAUGCCUAGGUACCUGCCUGGUAGUGGGGGAUAUGGUCCGGAAACGGGCGCUAAUACCGUAUACUAUCCGAUGAGCCUAGGGCGGAUUAGCUAGUUGGUGGGGUAAAGGCCUACCAAGGCGACGAUCCGUAACUGGUCUGAGAGGAUGAGCAGUCACACUGGAAAUGAGACACGGUCCAGACUCCUACGGGAGGCAGCAGUGGGGAAUAUUGGACAAUGGGCGAAAGCCUGAUCCAGCCAUGCCGCGUGUGUGAAGAAGGUCUUCGGAUUGUAAAGCACUUUAAGUUGGGAGGCGUUACCAACAGAAUAAGCACCGGCUAACUUCGUGCCAGCCGCCGCGGUAAUUC
Molecule: ribosomal RNA, 407 nt
Filed under: uncultured bacterium
Lineage: Bacteria
Description: partial 16S ribosomal RNA
Rfam family: Bacterial small subunit ribosomal RNA
Source: RNAcentral